Molecule: non-coding RNA, 2200 nt
Organism: Cyanistes caeruleus (blue tit)
Lineage: Eukaryota; Metazoa; Chordata; Aves; Passeriformes; Paridae
Source: RefSeq, a predicted model, not a curated record
AGCCUGGGCUGGCCUGUGUUGUUCUGUUUUGGACAGAAUUCCGGCAGGAUCCUUGCAAGCAGAGGACCCAGCACACGGCGGGAGGGACUUGGGGUGGUUCAACUGGAGCAUCACCACCUGAGAUCUUGCUCCAGACACUGCAACAUCCCAGGAGGGCCCUGGAACACCACAGGAGGAGAGAUCCAGCUACCAAGGGGCUCAUUUUUUCAUGCUCUACAUUCAAAACAUUUAUUAUUCCAAAUCGCCUUCUGCACAUUCUACAACAAUUCUCCAUUCCUGGCAGCACAGUCUGAGACCUCUCCCUUCAAUCCAUCUGGCUUGGACCUGAAGAGGUGCCUUUGCUCCGUUGACGAGGAUCUGUGGAUGAAGAGGAAGGCUGGAAUUCAGCUGGCAGCCCUCAGCUACUGGGAGUCCAGUGAUGAGCGGCCCUGGUGGGAACCAGGUGGCAGAAAUUCUGGAACCACCACGUCUCCUUUGAUAAACAAAAGACAGAUAGGUCUCCAAAAGGUCUUGAGGAACCUCCUGUUCCCAAGGCAGGGAAUGAUGUCCAAGCGGAAGCACACUGAAGUGCCUGGAGGUGAGCAGAGCCCAGGCUCCCCGGGCGUGUUCACAAGGGAAUAUUGACAUUUGGGACCAAGGGAUGGAAAACUAGGCUGUGAGCUGCUGGAGCUGUUAUCAAGGAUAUUUAUUCCAGCAACUUUCCCUUGCAGGUCUUCUUAAGGUUGUGCCUCUUUUUCCCCAUUCCCCUCUGAGUGUCCCACACCACAUUUUCCAUUAAUUACUAAAAUAAAUCUAACAAAAUGCUCUCCUUCCUGGGCUUUUUUGGUACCUUCCACUGUUCCUUCACCUCUCUCUCUGCAUUACUGUAAGUAGUGAGUGAGUUCCUACUCUCACUCCGGGGCUUGGUUACUCAAACUGUUUAUUGAGUAAUAAAAAGAGACAAUUACAAGUCAUUGCCCAGGGAUAAUGUGCUGAUAAUUUUAUGACUGUCCCAACGGUUGGAACAGCCCACAAAUGGUGGUGAGCAGGAAAUCUGGGAUCUGCUGCCGACAGAGCCACCCCGAGGAGAUGAACCCUCGCUGCUGACAAUGAAAGCUGCUGCAACAACUGUGAGCCAUUAAAAUUGCUGUGGGGACGGCUGGUGGGGUGGGCAUUGCUUCCUUCAGAGGAAAAGCCAGAAAGAACUUUUGGAAGGUGUUUGGAAGUUCAUCCUACUCGGAGUGAGUGUGAGGGACCACCAGCACUGCUCAUGUUCAGGUCUACAAGGCCAGUAGCUGGGGCCUGGGGAUUCCUGGAAAAACAAAGAUUAGAGGGUGUUAAUGCUUUCAAGCAAACAGGGAUCAUCUCAGAGAUAACAAAGGGAUUAAGUUUCUCCAGGCACUUGAGCAGGGACCCAGCUUUAGAGCUGCUGCUGCAGGGUGACCCUCGGCUUGCUGCCACCUGUAGGAUGACAUUCCCCAUCCCUGUCACCCCAAACCCCGGGGAUUUCAUUAUUUCUGUUUUUAAGCCUAUAUCUGUAGCUGGUUCAGUUCCCAUCCAGAGGAUUUUCCAGUUCCUCUGUGAUUCCGUGGGCACAACAGGAAAUAAUUUCCAAUUUAAAGCGUGUCCCUGACCACUGAACAUGGAAAACUGCUGCCACUGAAAUGCUUCCAAUUGUCAAAAUUCAGGAAUCAGCUGCUCCCCUGUCUGAAACCAUUUCAAGGUGAUGUUCCCAUUGGCCCUCUCCAGGAGGAAUUCCUGCUCCUUCUUAGGAGCAGAACAUCACCUCAGCACUAUCUUCUCCCCAGUGAGGUGGAGCUCAGUGGAUGGAGCGGGGAGGGCCCUGGAGAGGUCUGGCUGUGCCCAUCUCCCGUGAGGAGGGAUGAGCUGCACCUCUCCCAGACCCGCAGCAGAGCCAGAGCUCAGGGUGGGCAGGAAGCCAUGGAACUGGGAGUAGCUGUUUGCAGCUGCCAGGACCUCCCAUUUGUGUGGUAGUGAUGCAGAUAGAAUCUCACAAACCGGUUUCCAUUCUGCUUUACUGCAGAUUUAAUGAUCGGAGGAAGAGCCUGACUGUUUAUUAAAACAUUAGACAGUAAAGUUUAACAAUAGACAGUAAAGGGUUUUGUUUUUCCAUCCUUCUGAUUGUUAAAGCAGCACCACUCUGGGCUGGAGAGGGAGCUGCUCCCAAUCCCUGGAUGCAGAAGGGCAGAGUGGGCUGUGA